UGGCUUUGGCAGCACAUAUACUAAAAUUGGAGCAAUACAGAGAAGAUUAGGAUGUCCUGCGCAAGGAUGACGUGCAGAGUGAUGAAACAGUCCACACUUUA
This 101-nucleotide small nuclear RNA is filed under the name Mus pahari (shrew mouse). Lineage: Eukaryota; Metazoa; Chordata; Mammalia; Rodentia; Muridae. The record is from RNAcentral.